RNAcentral lists this ribosomal RNA (699 nucleotides) under uncultured Pseudomonas sp. Its description in RNAcentral is "bacterial SSU rRNA". It matches the Rfam family "Bacterial small subunit ribosomal RNA", at positions 75 to 774 of the family's 1533-position model. The record is from RNAcentral. Lineage: Bacteria; Pseudomonadati; Pseudomonadota; Gammaproteobacteria; Pseudomonadales; Pseudomonadaceae.
AGAAGCUGCUCUCUGAGAGCGGCGACGGGUGAGUAAAGCCUAGAAUCUGCCUGGUAGUGGGGGAUAACGUUCGGAAACGGACGCUAAUACCGCAUACGUCCUACGGGAGAAAGCAGGGGACCUUCGGGCCUUGCGCUAUCAGAUGAGCCUAGGUCGGAUUAGCUAGUUGGUGAGGUAAUGGCUCACCAAGGCGACGAUCCGUAACUGGUCUGAGAGGAUGAUCAGUCACACUGGAACUGAGACACGGUCCAGACUCCUACGGGAGGCAGCAGUGGGGAAUAUUGGACAAUGGGCGAAAGCCUGAUCCAGCCAUGCCGCGUGUGUGAAGAAGGUCUUCGGAUUGUAAAGCACUUUAAGUUGGGAGGAAGGGCAUUAACCUAAUACGUUAGUGUUUUGACGUUACCGACAGAAUAAGCACCGGCUAACUCUGUGCCAGCAGCCGCGGUAAUACAGAGGGUGCAAGCGUUAAUCGGAAUUACUGGGCGUAAAGCGCGCGUAGGUGGUUUGUUAAGUUGGAUGUGAAAUCCCCGGGCUCAACCUGGGAACUGCAUUCAAAACUGACUGACUAGAGUGUGGUAGAGGGUGGUGGAAUUUCCUGUGUAGCGGUGAAAUGCGUAGAUAUAGGAAGGAACACCAGUGGCGAAGGCGACCACCUGGACCAACACUGACACUGAGGUGCGAAAGCGUGGGGAGCAAACA